UAAUAUAGCACUUAAAGCUUGUCAUAAAGGCUAGAGAUAUGCUAUAAAAUGAAUCAAACGGCCUAGCUAUAGUGGAUUCCAUCUAGCUAGCCCAUACUUUUUUUUUUUACUGGGAAAAUGCAAGCAAAUUGAGCAAUAGUAACAGUUGAACUUACUUUUUCAAGAAAUAUCUGAAUUAAGAAGUGCGGCCAUGGAUGUUUUAUUGCCUUUAAUAUUCUCCUUGCAAAAGAUUGGCUGCU
Molecule: long non-coding RNA, 239 nt
Filed under: Gossypium barbadense (sea-island cotton)
Lineage: Eukaryota; Viridiplantae; Streptophyta; Magnoliopsida; Malvales; Malvaceae
Description: long non-coding RNA (GBAR_LNC016933)
Source: RNAcentral